GAUGAACGCUAGCGGCAGGCUUAAUACAUGCAAGUCGAGGGGCAGCACGAAUAGCAAUAUUUGGUGGCGACCGGCGCACGGGUGCGUAACACGUAUACAACCUACCUAUAACAGGGGGAUAGCCUUUCGAAAGAGAGAUUAAUACCCCGUAAUAAAUUGAGUGGCAUCACUUGAUUUUGAAAGCUACGGCGGUUAUAGAUGGGUAUGCGUCUGAUUAGCUAGUUGGUGAGGUAACGGCUCACCAAGGCGACGAUCAGUAGGGGAUCUGAGAGGACUAACCCCCACACUGGUACUGAGACACGGACCAGACUCCUACGGGAGGCAGCAGUAAGGAAUAUUGGUCAAUGGAGGCAACUCUGAACCAGCCAUGCCGCGUGCAGGAUGACGGCCCUAUGGGUUGUAAACUGCUUUUGUUACCAGAGAAAACCUAACUCACGUGUGAGUAGCUGAUAGUAUGGUAAGAAUAAGCAUCGGCUAAC
RNAcentral lists this ribosomal RNA (479 nucleotides) under uncultured bacterium. RNAcentral describes it as "bacterial SSU rRNA". It matches the Rfam family "Bacterial small subunit ribosomal RNA", at positions 28 to 501 of the family's 1533-position model. The record is from RNAcentral.